UAUGUAGUGAACUGCAGGAUUAUGAUGG
This 28-nucleotide small RNA is filed under the name Bombyx mori (domestic silkworm). Its description in RNAcentral is "ovarian small RNA-6657". The record is from RNAcentral. Lineage: Eukaryota; Metazoa; Arthropoda; Insecta; Lepidoptera; Bombycidae.